GAUGAACGCUGGCGGCGUGCUUAACACAUGCAAGUCGAACGGAAAGGCUCCUGCUUGCCGGGGUACCCGAGUGGCGAACGGGUGAGUAACACGUGGGUGAUCUGCCCUGCACUUCGGGAUAAGCCUGGGAAACUGGGUCUAAUACCGGAUAGGACCACAUUUUGGAUGGUGUGGUGGAAAGUUUUUCGGUGUGGGAUGAGCUCGCGGCCUAUCAGCUUGUUGGUGGGGUAAUGGCCUACCAAGGCGUCGACGGGUAGCCGGCCUGAGAGGGUGUACGGCCACAUUGGGACUGAGAUACGGCCCAGACUCCUACGGGAGGCAGCAGUGGGGAAUAUUGCACAAUGGGCGCAAGCCUGAUGCAGCGACGCCGCGUGGGGGAUGACGGCCUUCGGGUUGUAAACUCCUUUCGCUAGGGACGAAGCGCAAGUGACGGUACCUGGAGAAGAAGCACCGGCUAACUACGUG
RNAcentral lists this ribosomal RNA (465 nucleotides) under uncultured bacterium. Its description in RNAcentral is "partial 16S ribosomal RNA". It matches the Rfam family "Bacterial small subunit ribosomal RNA", at positions 28 to 507 of the family's 1533-position model. The record is from RNAcentral.